This 465-nucleotide ribosomal RNA is filed under the name uncultured bacterium. Its description in RNAcentral is "bacterial SSU rRNA". It matches the Rfam family "Bacterial small subunit ribosomal RNA", at positions 338 to 795 of the family's 1533-position model. The record is from RNAcentral.
CCUACGGGAGGCAGCAGUAGGGAAUCUUCCGCAAUGGACGAAAGUCUGACGGAGCAACGCCGCGUGAACGAAGAAGGCCUUCGGGUGGUAAAGUUCUGUUGUUAGGGAAGAACAAGUACCAGAGUAACUGCUGGUACCUUGACGGUACCUAACCAGAAAGCCACGGCUAACUACGUGCCAGCAGCCGCGGUAAUACGUAGGUGGCAAGCGUUGUCCGGAAUUAUUGGGCGUAAAGCGCGCGCAGGUGGUUCUUUAAGUCUGAUGUGAAAGCCCACGGCUCAACCGUGGAGGGUCAUUGGAAACUGGGGAACUUGAGUGCAGAAGAGGAAAGUGGAAUUCCAAGUGUAGCGGUGAAAUGCGUAGAGAUUUGGAGGAACACCAGUGGCGAAGGCGACUUUCUGGUCUGUAACUGACACUGAGGCGCGAAAGCGUGGGGAGCAAACAGGAUUAGAUACCCCAGUAGUC